This is a long non-coding RNA of Amphiprion ocellaris (clown anemonefish), 422 nucleotides long. The record is from Ensembl. Lineage: Eukaryota; Metazoa; Chordata; Actinopteri; Pomacentridae.
GUGAGGGAUGAUGUAAGAUGGUAAAGGUGGCUAAACUGCCACAGGAGGGAUGAUUUAAGGUGGUAAUGGUGGUGAAACUGCCGGGUGAGGGAUGAUUUAAGGCGGUAAAGGUGGUGUAAGUGCCAGGUGAGGAAUCAUUUAAGGUGGUGAUGGUGGUGAAACUGCCAGGUGAGGGAUGAUUUAAGGUGGUAAAGGUGGUGGAGGUGAUGGAUGAUUUAAGGUAGUAAAGGUGAUCAAACUGCCAGGUGAGGGAUGAUUUAAGGUGGUAAUGGUGGUGAAACUGCUGGGUGAGGGCUGAUUUAAGGUGGAAAGGUGGUGAAGCUGCCGGGUGAGGAAUGACUUAAGGUGGUAAUGGUGGUGAAACUGCUGGGUGAGGGCUGAUUUAAGGUGAUAAUGGUGGUGAAACUGCUGGGUGAGGGCUG